GUUAAAGUGGCAGAUUAGUGCAUUAGACUUAAACCCUAAAUAUGAGAACCCUCCUUUAACU
This 61-nucleotide transfer RNA is filed under the name Sternaspis scutata. RNAcentral's name for it is "tRNA-Leu". It matches the Rfam family "tRNA". Rfam says of the family: Transfer RNA (tRNA) molecules are approximately 80 nucleotides in length. The record is from RNAcentral. RNAcentral also lists the same sequence under 2 other names. Lineage: Eukaryota; Metazoa; Annelida; Polychaeta; Terebellida; Sternaspidae.